Mastomys coucha (southern multimammate mouse) is the source of this 335-nucleotide long non-coding RNA. RefSeq lists it as uncharacterized. The record is from RefSeq and is a predicted model, not a curated record. Lineage: Eukaryota; Metazoa; Chordata; Mammalia; Rodentia; Muridae. The transcript has 2 exons.
UUCAGAUGCAGUUCUAUGGGAUCGAGAGUGCUGCGGAAUGAAUGUAUACUGAUGGACCCGUAUACUGGUGACUCAGCACUUGUGUGGUCCUGCAAGGCUGUUACGAAUUUGAGGACAUCCUGACCUACAUGGUGAGUUCCAGGCCAGAUAGAGCUACAUAGUGUAGCCCUUUCUUGGAAGGAAGAACAGGAGAAAAGGAUGAAGAGGAGGAGGAGGCAGAAGAGGAAGAGGAGGAGACAGUGGCAGUAAUGGCGAACAACAACAACAACAAAACAGCAAAGAGAAAUCCCCAAGCCACGUAAACAAUAAAUAAAAUGAAGCAUUUUUCAACAUCA